UGUUUCGGCUAGGGGGUCAUCCCGACUUACCAACCCGAUGCAAACUACGAAUACCGAAGAAUGUUAUCACGGGAGACACACGGCGGGUGCUAACGUCCGUCGUGAAGAGGGAAACAACCCAGACCGCCAGCUAAGGUCCCAAAGUCAUGGUUAAGUGGGAAACGAUGUGGGAAGGCACAGACAGCCAGGAUGUUGGCUUAGAAGCAGCCAUCAUUUAAAGAAAGCGUAAUAGCUCACUGGUCGAGUCGGCCUGCGCGGAAGAUGUAACGGGGCUAAACCAUGCACCGAAGCUGCGGCAGCGACACUAUGUGUUGUUGGGU
RNAcentral lists this ribosomal RNA (320 nucleotides) under Klebsiella pneumoniae. Its description in RNAcentral is "partial 23S ribosomal RNA". It matches the Rfam family "Bacterial large subunit ribosomal RNA", at positions 911 to 1229 of the family's 2925-position model. Lineage: Bacteria; Pseudomonadati; Pseudomonadota; Gammaproteobacteria; Enterobacterales; Enterobacteriaceae. The record is from RNAcentral.